GUUUGGAUAGUUUAUUAAUAAAACAUUAGUUUGUGGCACUAAAAAAAUAAAAUUUUAUUCCAGACC
RNAcentral lists this transfer RNA (66 nucleotides) under Coenobita variabilis. RNAcentral describes it as "tRNA-His". It matches the Rfam family "tRNA". From Rfam's summary of the family: Transfer RNA (tRNA) molecules are approximately 80 nucleotides in length. Their secondary structure includes four short double-helical elements and three loops (D, anti-codon, and T loops). Further hydrogen bonds mediate the characteristic L-shaped molecular structure. tRNAs have two regions of fundamental functional importance: the anti-codon, which is responsible for specific mRNA codon recognition, and the 3' end, to which the tRNAs corresponding amino acid is attached (by aminoacyl-tRNA synthetases). tRNAs cope with the degeneracy of the genetic code in two manners: having more than one tRNA (with a specific anti-codon) for a particular amino acid; and 'wobble' base-pairing, i.e. permitting non-standard base-pairing at the 3rd anti-codon position. The record is from RNAcentral. Lineage: Eukaryota; Metazoa; Arthropoda; Malacostraca; Decapoda; Coenobitidae.